This is a long non-coding RNA of Oncorhynchus gorbuscha (pink salmon), 159 nucleotides long. RefSeq lists it as uncharacterized. NCBI's taxonomy places the organism in Eukaryota, Metazoa, Chordata, Actinopteri, Salmoniformes, Salmonidae. The transcript has 3 exons. The record is from RefSeq and is a predicted model, not a curated record.
CUGCUAGGUUCUGAGGACCUGUCUGUAUCUCUGCUAGGUUCUGAGGACCUGUCUGUAUCUCUGCUAGGUUCUGAGGACCUGUCUGUAUCUCUGCUAGGUUCUGAGGACCUGUCUGUAUCUCUGCUAGGUUCUGAGGACCUGUCUGUAUCUCUGCUAGGU